This 30-nucleotide non-coding RNA is filed under the name Mus musculus (house mouse). Lineage: Eukaryota; Metazoa; Chordata; Mammalia; Rodentia; Muridae. The record is from RNAcentral.
UAAUCAAACGCUGCCCUAAGCCCAGAUGCA